This 293-nucleotide ribosomal RNA is filed under the name uncultured bacterium. RNAcentral's name for it is "partial 16S ribosomal RNA". It matches the Rfam family "Archaeal small subunit ribosomal RNA", at positions 455 to 747 of the family's 1478-position model. The record is from RNAcentral.
GUGCCAGCAGCCGCGGUAAUACCGGCAGCCCGAGUGAUGGCCGAUCUUAUUGGGCCUAAAGCGUCCGUAGCUGGCCGAACAAGUCCGUCGGGAAAUCCAGUAGCUCAACUACUGGGCGUCCGGCGGAAACUGCUCGGCUUGGGACCGGAGGACCCGAGGGGUACGUCCGGGGUAGGAGUGAAAUCCCGUAAUCCCGGACGGACCGCCGGUGGCGAAAGCGCCUCGGGAGGACGGAUCCGACGGUGAGGGACGAAAGCUAGGGUCUCGAACCGGAUUAGAAACCCGGGUAGUCC